CACGUAGGGGGCAAGCGUUGUCCGGAUUCAUUGGGCGUAAAGAGCUCGUAGGCGGUUCGAUAAGUCGGGUGUGAAACCUCCAGGCUCAACCUGGAGACGCCACCCGAUACUGUCGUGACUAGAGUCCAGUAGGGGAGCGUGGAAUUCCUGGUGUAGCGGUGAAAUGCGCAGAUAUCAGGAGGAACACCAGCGGCGAAGGCGGCGCUCUGGGCUGGCACUGACGCUGAGGAGCGAAAGCGUGGGGAGCGAACAGG
This 254-nucleotide ribosomal RNA is filed under the name uncultured bacterium. RNAcentral describes it as "partial 16S ribosomal RNA". It matches the Rfam family "Bacterial small subunit ribosomal RNA", at positions 524 to 776 of the family's 1533-position model. The record is from RNAcentral.